CCUUUGUACACACCGCCCGUCGCUACUACCGAUUGAAUGGCUCAGUGAGGCUUCCGGACUGGCCUAGUGAGGUGGGCAACUACCACGCGGGGCCGGAAAGGUAUGCAAACUCGGUCAUUUAGAGG
Molecule: ribosomal RNA, 125 nt
Filed under: Lanspora sp.
Lineage: Eukaryota; Fungi; Ascomycota; Sordariomycetes; Phomatosporaceae
Description: partial small subunit ribosomal RNA
Rfam family: Eukaryotic small subunit ribosomal RNA
Source: RNAcentral